CUCUGUCUCUCUCUCUCUCUCUCUCUCUCUCUCUCUCUCUCUCUCUCUCUCUCUCUGCCCCCAUUGUGCUUUUUGACCCUUUUGUUGUCCCUUGUUCCCAGUUAUUAUUUGCACCUGUGCCUCGUUUCCCCUGAUUGUAUUUAAACCCUUCGUGUUCCUCAGUUCUUUGCUCUGGGUUUGUAUGUUAGCACCCAGCCAUGCUGUGAACUCUUGUUUCUCUAGUUGGAUUUUGUUGAGGCCCAGCUCAAGGACACAGGCAGCACCUACACAGGUCCCAGCUCCAGAACACAGGCAGCACCGAUACUGAUCCCAGCUAAAGGAACACAGGCAGCACCGAUACUGGUCCCAGCUAAAGGAACACAGGCAGCACCUACACAGGUCCCAGCUCCGGAACACAGGCAGCACCUACACAGGUCCCAGCUCCGGAACACAGGCAGCACCUACACAGGUCCCAGCUCCAGAACACAGGCAGCACCGAUACUGGUCCCAGCUCCAGAACACAGGCAGCACCGAUACUGGUCCCAGCUAAAGGAACACAGGCAGCACCGAUACUGGUCCCAGCUAAAGGAACACAGGCAGCACCGAUACUGGUCCCAGCUAAAGGAACACAGGCAGCACCGAUACUGGUCCCAGCUAAAGGAACACAGGCAGCACCGAUACUGGUCCCAGCUCCAGAACACAGGCAGCACCGAUACUGGUCCCAGCUAAAGGAACACAGGCAGCACCUACACAGGUCCCAGCUAAAGGAACACAGGCAGCACCGAUACUGGUCCCAGCUAAAGGAACACAGGCAGCACCUACACAGGUCCCAGCUCCGGAACACAGGCAGCACCGAUACAGGUCCCAGCUAAAGGAACACAGGCAGCACCGAUACUGGUCCCAGCUAAAGGAACACAGGCAGCACCUACACGGGUCCAAGCUAAAGGAACACAGGCAGCACCAAUACUGGUCCCAGCUAAAAGAACACAGGCAGCACCGAUACAGGUCCCAGCUAAAGGAACACAGGCAGAACCGAUACUGGUCCCAGCUCCAGAACACAGGCAGCACCGAUACUGGUCCCAGCUCCAGAACACAGGCAGCACCGAUACUGGUCCCAGCUAAAGGAACACAGGCAGCACCGAUACUGGUCCCAGCUAAAGGAACACAGGCAGCACCGAUACUGGUCCCAGCUAAAGGAACACAGGCAGCACCUACACAGGUCCCAGCUAAAGGAACACAGGCAGCACCGAUACUGGUCCCAGCUAAAGGAACACAGGCAGCACCUACACAGGUCCCAGCUCCGGAACACAGGCAGCACCGAUACAGGUCCCAGCUAAAGGAACACAGGCAGCACCGAUACUGGUCCCAGCUAAAGGAACACAGGCAGCACCGAUACUGGUCCCAGCUAAAGGAACACAGGCAGCACCUACACGGGUCCAAGCUAAAGGAACACAGGCAGCACCGAUACUGGUCCCAGCUAAAAGAACACAGGCAGCACCGAUACAGGUCCCAGCUAAAGGAACACAGGCAGAACCGAUACUGGUCCCAGCUCCAGAACACAGGCAGCACCGAUACUGGUCCCAGCUCCAGAACACAGGCAGCACCGAUACUGGUCCCAGCUAAAGGAACACAGGCAGCACCGAUACUGGUCCCAGCUAAAGGAACACAGGCAGCACCGAUACUGGUCCCAGCUAAAGGAACACAGGCAGCACCGAUACUGGUCCCAGCUCCGGAACACAGGCAGCACCGAUACUGGUCCCAGCUAAAGGAACACAGGCAGCACCGAUACUGGUCCCAGCUAAAGGAACACAGGCAGCACCGAUACUGGUCCCAGCUAAAGGAACACAGGCAGCACCUACACGGGUCCCAGCUCAGGAAGCGAAUGAAAGGCCAAGAAUGCAACGUCUGCCACGCCCACUGUAGCGCAGCGUGGAAUCUUGCUUCGCGUUGAUGCAGACAACUAGUUCCACAAGGCGAACCCGCUCCGAGUAACCGCAGCCUCGAGCCCAGAUGCGACUCUGUCUCCUCUGGGGCGCGUUGGGCGGGAGGCUAUGAUAAAGACUGAACUUGGUAACUUGCACACAGUAUAACAUAAACGCAAUUGAAUGCAAGUUAUAGCAGGGUUGGAUCGUUGUAAUUCUCGACAUUGAACCCUGAUUUUAACCUCACCAGCAGCCGAUACAGACAGACAAAAAGGACCGCUUCUUGUUCCUCCCGAAUCGCCUUUGAAUGUGAGCUGUCCGCGGUACCUGGACGGGAAAGAUGCAGCAAAGAAGAUGCAGCUUUUUUAUGGUUUUAUCCUUUUUACUACAGAUGGGAAACGCAGGUAAGUGGCGCAGAUUACGACACCAAUAACCCAGCAAGCAUUCAAAUAGAUUCAAUGAAUGUCAUCACUGACUGGUGUUAUAGCCUAUUGUCCAGUUAGUGCACAGAAACACCUAUACCAUUCAAUGCAACUCCAUAACCUAUGCUUUCAGCAUCACGCAUAGCAGGCACAUCUGUAUGUAGUUUAUACAGGGUUGUAAUGGUAUUUGUUUUGUCAGGUGCUGCGUGCAUGUUGUUGCUGCAUGCAUGAUUUAUGCCAAUGAUGAGGAAUAGGGCGACCGUCAAUAUGUAACGGUGCAUUAGAAGCAUAACCAUCUUAUGUUUCAUCUGAAUUUUUCAUGCAACAAAGACAGAAUCGAAGUUGUUCCGUUUGUGUGGUCCGUCUGCAAAUGCAUAAAACUCGAGGCUGAAAGCCGAUCGAAUAGAAUCCCACCUCUAAUCCAAUAAGGAAGCGUGUUUUCAGGACCAUGGCUAGCAACCGGCCGAAAACAACACUACUGUCGUUAGGGAGAAAAUGUCUCAACUGUGUUUGUGAAAGAGGAAGGGUCGCGCAGCAGUAAUGACCUGGAUGAAGGAGACUGUAUUGUGAACGGUGUUAGUCUAAAGACAAUGCCACGUAAUAUACACGUUGUUUUACAGAGAAUGUACAAUACAAUAAUUACCGAGUUUACUAUUGUGAUAUUCUACAUAGAUUUUACAGCUGGCAUUACUGUAUCAUACUGAUACACAGUUUAUUACAGGUUAAGAGGGGGAGAGAGGAGGAGAGCAAGAGAGGAGAGAGGGGGGAGAGAGAGAGACAUGUAGAUAGACUACAUGUAUUUAUUCUGCUCUUAGUCUAUACCAGAAGACCAUUGAUAAACCUGUCAUUGUGACUCAGAGAGAUACUGUAAAACCAACGCAGCCUGUAAACUAGAUGUCUAGAGAAGAUCAUCUGGCUGUUACCAUAGAGAUCUUUUUAAAUUCCACUAGCAUUCUAAUUCCUAACUCUAUGCUUGUCACUCAGUGAAGGUCAAUGGGAAAAACCCAUGUGAUUGGCAGCUGUUGACCUCCAGGCCUACGCCCCUGAGUUCUAGAAUGCUUAUUCUGUUCUACACUCUCAGAAGAAGCCGAAAUGAUUCCUAAAAUCAGAGCUUUCAUUCUCUUCACUGGCAUCAGAUAUAGUGUGAUGUAUUACUAGGAGGGAUGACAUUUCUUCUUCCCACUUCCCUUCCAUACCACCUUGCUGUGCUGACACGCGUGCCUGGCACAUGAGGAAAUGUGAUCUUUCUCUCCCCAUAUCUCUCUCUCUCUCACCCUCCCUCCCUUUCUCUCUCUCUCUCUCUCUCUCGCUCUCUCUCUCGCUCUCUCUCUCCCUACUGUAUCUCUCUCCCUGCUGCCUGCUGCCUGCUGCCUCCGCCUCUCAAUCUGGAAAAUGAAUAACAACAUGACAUUCACUCGAGAAAGAGUGA
Oncorhynchus kisutch (coho salmon) is the source of this 3752-nucleotide long non-coding RNA. NCBI's taxonomy places the organism in Eukaryota, Metazoa, Chordata, Actinopteri, Salmoniformes, Salmonidae. The record is from Ensembl.